AGAACCUACUGUGUGACUGUGGAGUUGGUAAAGGCCCUACUGAAUGAGCUGGCCUCCGUGAAGGUGAAUGAGGUGGUGCGGUACCAGGCGGGCUACGUGGUGUGCGCCGUGAUCGCGGGCCUCUACCUGCUGCUGGUGCCCACUGCCGGGCUUUGCUUCUGCUGCUGCCGCUGCCGCCGGCGCUGCGGGGGACGAGUUAAGACAGAGCACAAGGCGCUGGCCUGUGAGCGCACGG
Molecule: small RNA, 235 nt
Filed under: Pongo abelii (Sumatran orangutan)
Lineage: Eukaryota; Metazoa; Chordata; Mammalia; Primates; Hominidae
Description: processed transcript
Source: RNAcentral